CAGUCGCCACGGUAAUACGUAGGGUGCAAGCGUUAAUCGGAAUUACUGGGCGUAAAGCGUGCGCAGGCAGUUAUAUAAGACAGAUGUGAAAUCCCCGGGCUCAACCUGGGAACUGCAUUUGUGACUGUAUAGCUAGAGUACGGCAGAGGGGGAUGGAAUUCCGCGUGUAGCAGUGAAAUGCGUAGAUAUGCGGAGGAACACCGAUGGCGAAGGCAAUCCCCUGGGCCUGUACUGACGCUUAUGCACGAAAGCGUGGGGAGCAAACAGGAUUAGAUACCCCUGUAGUCCCUGUCUCUUAUAC
RNAcentral lists this ribosomal RNA (301 nucleotides) under uncultured bacterium. RNAcentral's name for it is "partial 16S ribosomal RNA". It matches the Rfam family "Bacterial small subunit ribosomal RNA", at positions 509 to 807 of the family's 1533-position model. The record is from RNAcentral.